RNAcentral lists this ribosomal RNA (483 nucleotides) under uncultured bacterium. Its description in RNAcentral is "partial 16S ribosomal RNA". It matches the Rfam family "Bacterial small subunit ribosomal RNA", at positions 30 to 507 of the family's 1533-position model. The record is from RNAcentral.
AUUGAACGCUGCGGCAGGCCUAACACCUGCCAGUCGAGCGGAUGAAGGGAGCUUGCUCCUGGAUUCAGCGGCGGACGGGUGAGUAAUGCCUAGGAAUCUGCCUGGUAGUGGGGGAUAACGUCCGGAAACGGGCGCUAAUACCGCAUACGUCCUGAGGGAGAAAGUGGGGGAUCUUCGGACCUCACGCUAUCAGAUGAGCCUAGGUCGGAUUAGCUAGUUGGUGGGGUAAAGGCCUACCAAGGCGACGAUCCGUAACUGGUCUGAGAGGAUGAUCAGUCACACUGGAACUGAGACACGGUCCAGACUCCUACGGGAGGCAGCAGUGGGGAAUAUUGGACAAUGGGCGAAAGCCUGAUCCAGCCAUGCCGCGUGUGUGAAGAAGGUCUUCGGAUUGUAAAGCACUUUAAGUUGGGAGGAAGGGCAGUAAGUUAAUACCUUGCUGUUUUGACGUUACCAACAGAAUAAGCACCGGCUAACUUCGUG